GCCAGCAGCCAUAUCACUCUGCAACUCACAACUUGGCAACCCCCGAAGUUUAGCAGUUGUGAGCCUGGUCAGUACCUGGAUGGGAGACCUCCUGGGAAACACUAAAGUUGCUGCUGGAA
This 119-nucleotide ribosomal RNA is filed under the name Lepisosteus oculatus (spotted gar). Lineage: Eukaryota; Metazoa; Chordata; Actinopteri; Semionotiformes; Lepisosteidae. The record is from RNAcentral.